RNAcentral lists this transfer RNA (78 nucleotides) under Pythium insidiosum. RNAcentral describes it as "tRNA-Ser". It matches the Rfam family "tRNA". From Rfam's summary of the family: Transfer RNA (tRNA) molecules are approximately 80 nucleotides in length. Their secondary structure includes four short double-helical elements and three loops (D, anti-codon, and T loops). Lineage: Eukaryota; Oomycota; Peronosporomycetes; Pythiales; Pythiaceae. The record is from RNAcentral.
GACAGCUUGCGAGUGGUUAAGGCGAUGGACUUGAAAUCCAUUGGGUAACCUGCGUGAGUUCAAAUCUCACAGCUGUCG